RNAcentral lists this signal recognition particle RNA (299 nucleotides) under Aotus nancymaae (Ma's night monkey). RNAcentral's name for it is "Metazoan signal recognition particle RNA (ENSANAG00000014792.1)". It matches the Rfam family "Metazoan signal recognition particle RNA". From Rfam's summary of the family: The signal recognition particle (SRP) is a universally conserved ribonucleoprotein. It is involved in the co-translational targeting of proteins to membranes. Lineage: Eukaryota; Metazoa; Chordata; Mammalia; Primates; Aotidae. The record is from RNAcentral.
GCCAGGCGCAGUGGCGCGUGCCUGUAGUCCUAGUUACUCGAGAGGCUGAGGCUGGAGAAUCCCUUGAGUUCAGGAGUUCUGGGCUGUAGUGCGCUAUACUGAUCCGGUGUCCACACUAAGUUCGGCAUCAAUAUGGUGACCUCCCGGGAGCGGGGCACCACCAGGUUGCCUAAGGAGGGGUGAACCGGCCCAGGUCGGAAAUGGAGCAGAUUAAAACUCCUGUGCUGAUCAGUAGUGGGAUUGCGCCUGUGAAUAGCCACUGCACUCCAGCCUGGGCAACAUAGUGAGACCCUACCUCU